RNAcentral lists this ribosomal RNA (509 nucleotides) under uncultured bacterium. RNAcentral's name for it is "bacterial SSU rRNA". It matches the Rfam family "Bacterial small subunit ribosomal RNA", at positions 28 to 532 of the family's 1533-position model. The record is from RNAcentral.
GAUGAACGCUAGCGGGAGGCUUAACACAUGCAAGUCGAGGGGCAGCAUAGGGUAGCAAUACUCUGAUGGCGACCGGCAAACGGGUGAGUAACGCGUAUGUAACCUACCCUGUACAGGGGGAUAACCCGGAGAAAUUCGGACUAAUAUCCCAUAACAAUAUCCGGGGGCAUCUUUGGAUAUUUAAAGUUCCGGCGGUACGGGAUGGGCAUGCGUAACAUUAGCUAGUUGGUAAGGUAACGGCUUACCAAGGCUUUGAUGUUUAGGGGUCCUGAGAGGGUGGUCCCCAACUGGUACUGAGACACGGACCAGACUCCUACGGGAGGCAGCAGUGAGGAAUAUUGGUCAAUGGGCGCAAGCCUGAACCAGCCAUCCCGCGUGCAGGAAGACGGCGCUAUGCGUUGUAAACUGCUUUUCCAGGGAGAGAAACUUGCGCACGUGUUGCGCAAUUGACGGUACCCUGGGAAUAAGCAUCGGCUAACUCCGUGCCAGCAGCCGCGGUAAACGUGCGU